This is a non-coding RNA of Otolemur garnettii (small-eared galago), 74 nucleotides long. The record is from Rfam. NCBI's taxonomy places the organism in Eukaryota, Metazoa, Chordata, Mammalia, Primates, Galagidae.
GGCACUGUGGCCCAAAGGAGUAGGGUGCCAGCCCUAUAUGAUGGAGGUGGCGGGUUCAAACCCCGCCCUGGCUA